RNAcentral lists this transfer RNA (85 nucleotides) under Felis catus (domestic cat). It matches the Rfam family "tRNA". From Rfam's summary of the family: Transfer RNA (tRNA) molecules are approximately 80 nucleotides in length. Their secondary structure includes four short double-helical elements and three loops (D, anti-codon, and T loops). RNAcentral also lists the same sequence under 3 other names. Lineage: Eukaryota; Metazoa; Chordata; Mammalia; Carnivora; Felidae. The record is from Rfam by way of RNAcentral.
GCCUGGGUGGCUCAGUUGGUUGAGCGUAUGACUUCAGCUCAGGUCAUGAGCUUGCGGCUCUUGGGUUCAAGCCCCACAUCAGGCU